AACGAACGCUGGCGGCAUGCCUAACACAUGCAAGUCGAACGAGACCUUCGGGUCUAGUGGCGCACGGGUGCGUCACGCGUGGGAACCUGCCCUUAGGUUCGGCAUAACUCCCCGAAAGGGGUGCUAAUACCGGAUAAUGUCUUCGGACCAAAGAUUUAUCGCCUUUGGAUGGGCCCGCGUUGGAUUAGCUCGUUGGUAGGGUAAAAGCCUACCAAGGCGACGAUCCAUAGCUGGUCUGAGAGGAUGAUCAGCCACACUGGGACUGAGACACGGCCCAGACUCCUACGGGAGGCAGCAGUGGGGAAUAGUGGACAAUGGGCGAAAGCAUGAUCCAGCAAUGCCGCGUGAGUGAUGAAGGCCUUAGGGUUGUAAAGCUCUUUUACCCGGGAUGAUAAUGACAGUACCGGGAGAAUAAGCUCCGGCUAACUCCGUG
This 433-nucleotide ribosomal RNA is filed under the name uncultured bacterium. RNAcentral describes it as "partial 16S ribosomal RNA". It matches the Rfam family "Bacterial small subunit ribosomal RNA", at positions 29 to 507 of the family's 1533-position model. The record is from RNAcentral.